GGGCUUGUACUGGUUUCGACAGGCCGGUUGAAGACGGUGAAGCUAUCCGUGGACUGUGACCACGUUAAAACGCAGAUUUUAAAUUAAACGCUGAUAAUAAAGAAUUAGCUUACGCUGCCUAAUUAAUGGCGGCUGCUGAAUGUAAGUGUCCUGCAGCUUAGGUUCAGUAUCAUCCUUUGCAGGGAACCUUAUCUGUUAAGCUUUGCGCAGGUAAGAGAUUGUAUGAAGCUACCGAAUCUUUGUGGGUGUCAGUUCCCACAUGGAUGAGGGAAUAAUUUUCCUUACAGGAAAAAUUUUUCCUUGCAGGAAAAUGGAACAACUGACUAUGAUAGUAGAAGAACGUGGGAUUCCGGUUUGGACGCGGGUUCGACUCCCGCCAGGUCCAUUG
This 388-nucleotide transfer-messenger RNA is filed under the name Eubacterium sp. It matches the Rfam family "transfer-messenger RNA". From Rfam's summary of the family: Bacterial tmRNA, also known as 10Sa RNA or SsrA, is named for its dual tRNA and mRNA-like properties. Lineage: Bacteria; Bacillati; Bacillota; Clostridia; Eubacteriales; Eubacteriaceae. The record is from RNAcentral. RNAcentral also lists the same sequence under 1 other name.